Molecule: ribosomal RNA, 619 nt
Filed under: uncultured bacterium
Lineage: Bacteria
Description: bacterial SSU rRNA
Rfam family: Bacterial small subunit ribosomal RNA
Source: RNAcentral
AUUGACGCCGCGUGAAGGAUGAAGGUCUUCGGAUUGUAAACUUCUGUCAUUAAGGAACAAACAUCUGUAUAACUAACAGAAAACUGAUAGUACUUAAAGAGGAAGAGACGGCUAACUCUGUGCCAGCAGCCGCGGUAAUACAGAGGUCUCAACCGUUGUUCGGAUUUAUUGGGCGUAAAGGGUGCGUAGGUGGUUUUGUAAGUCGGAUGUGAAAUUCUAGGGCUCAACCUUGGAACUGCAUUCGAUACUGCAUAGCUUGAGCGCUGGAAAGGAGACUGGAAUUUACGGUGUAGCAGUGAAAUGCGUAGAUAUCGUAAGGAAGAUCAGUGGCGAAGGCGAGUCUCUGGACAGAUGCUGACGCUGAGGCACGAAGGCCAAGGGAGCAAACGGGAUUAGAUACCCCGGUAGUCUUGGCAGUAAACGGUGCAUGUUUGGUGUAGGCGGAUUCGACCCUGUCUGCGCCGCAGCUAACGCGCUAAACAUGCCGCCUGGGAAGUACGAUCGCAAGAUUAAAACUCAAAGAAAUUGACGGGGCGCCGCACAAGCGAUGGAGUAUGUGGCUUAAUUCGAUGCAACGCGAAGAACCUUACCAGGGUUUGAUAUGCACUGUGUUGGAGAU